UCUCGCGCGAGGAUGUAGUGGCUCCGCCUUCCGGCCUUCAGCAGCCUCCUGCGCCAGGGUGGCGGUAAACUGUGGGAGGGGUGUUUUGCUAGGCCGUGAAGUCGCCGGUCCGCAAGGUGGAAUGCGCUUGCGUCUCUGCAUGGCAUCAGAGGAACUUCUGACUUCUCUGUCGCCCCGACGUUUUCCUCGUCUGGUGCGUUCUUUAUAUGGGGCGAGCUUAGACCAGGCCAGAAACAGAAAACUUCACACUGAGGAAAAGACGCGGAGGCAGGCGGCAUCUCUACUCGCACACAGCGUCUCUCCUCACCAGGAAGCGCCGAGUUUCUUCCCGGACGCCCACUGGAAACUAAGAAGUGUCGCUUAUGAUAGAAAAUAUGCCAAGACUCAGUAGAAAAAUGGCCACGACUAAGUCCCCUUCUUGAGUGGCCUCACACCAACUGUACUCCCUGUAGCGGGGUUCACGCCGCAGUACUCCCGAGCGGCUUAGACCGUCUUGGCGGAUUGCGUCAGAGGAUGCCUCUUUUCCUCGGACAUUGUUAAAAAGCAUCACCACCUAGGCUCCUAGGGACACAAGCAUAAAAAUAAAGCGUAACAAUCGGUUAUGCUGGCCAAGAAGCAGCCUAAUCUGUCAAAAAUAUAAAUCAAAUUAUAAAUAAGCAAGACAUUUGAUUUGGAUAGAAUUUCAAAUAAGAGCCGUAGCACAUUUUCUGUUAGUAUUUAGAUGCGUUUGACUCCUUAGGGCCUAUAAUCGUUAUGUCUUUGAAAAUGUUUAUGAUCGUGAACUACCCUAAGGGAUUUCUAGGUUGUGAAACCAGUCUUCUGUUAGUUAAAUACAGUACAAUAUUGUAAAUACAAUACAAUAUUGGGCCCUAGUCGUGAAUUUAACACUGUGCUUAAAUUCUCUUCUCACAAUCCAGUUUAUCAGCCCAACUAGAAAAAAACCUCAUAUGCACGGGAUGAAUUCUCUGUUGUCUCUAGUACAGCCUGCUCUCCACCACCACCAUCAGAAUGUGGAAGCCUUAAUCUUUGGCCUAUGUGGUGCAUUGCUGUACGACAUGCCACCGUGGGAAACUGCGUGAGGAGUGUUUCCACCAGCACUCAGGUACUUCUGAUCAUUACUGAAGGGAGUUCGAGGCAAGCUUACCUGCUGUCUGUUGUGUUUGGACACCAUCUACCUGAGGCAGGGGCCCAAGUGAACCUUCAUCUUCAAAGGCCAAAAUUGGAUUCAAAGGAAUGUCUGGGCUCUCACUGUUGGUGACAUCUAAUCUGGAUUGUUUAGAUCCAAUAGGCACUUUACUACAUCCCUUUGAUGAGCAGCCUUUAUUAGGACCCUCAAAGAUGAGUGGACUGCAGUUUGGGGGUGAGGAGGAUAAUG
Molecule: non-coding RNA, 1375 nt
Organism: Sus scrofa (pig)
Lineage: Eukaryota; Metazoa; Chordata; Mammalia; Artiodactyla; Suidae
Source: RefSeq, a predicted model, not a curated record